UAAGAUGGAAGCGUUUUGGGAGUCA
This 25-nucleotide non-coding RNA is filed under the name Mus musculus (house mouse). The record is from RNAcentral. Lineage: Eukaryota; Metazoa; Chordata; Mammalia; Rodentia; Muridae.